GUGAGCCCACAUAAGGUCGGUCCAUGUUGUUGAUAGAAAGGUUGGUGAGAAGUUGCCUGAAUUUUAGGAGACAAGCGGAGUCCGCAUGAAGAAAUAUUUGUAAAUAUUAGAGUUUUUUAGGCAAUAUCUUUAAAUAGAAUCUGUGUGUAAUAAAUUAUGUAAUAGAUACGAGUUCGUGUCUAACUCUAGUUACUUUCGGGGGUAUAAAUACAAC
This 214-nucleotide long non-coding RNA is filed under the name Oryza brachyantha (malo sina). RNAcentral describes it as "long non-coding RNA (OBRA_LNC003116)". The record is from RNAcentral. Lineage: Eukaryota; Viridiplantae; Streptophyta; Magnoliopsida; Poales; Poaceae.